RNAcentral lists this small nuclear RNA (306 nucleotides) under Mesitornis unicolor (brown roatelo). RNAcentral's name for it is "7SK RNA". It matches the Rfam family "7SK RNA". From Rfam's summary of the family: 7SK was discovered as an abundant small nuclear RNA in the mid-70s but a possible function has only recently been suggested. The record is from Rfam by way of RNAcentral. Lineage: Eukaryota; Metazoa; Chordata; Aves; Mesitornithiformes; Mesitornithidae.
GUGUGAGGAUGAUCUGACUGCAACAUCUGUCACCCCAUUGAUUGUCAGGGUUGAUAUGGCUGAUCUGGCUGGCUGGGCGGGUGUCCCCUUCCUCCCUCACCCCUCCAUGUGCAUCUCUCCCGAAGCUGCGUGCUCAGUUGAAGAAGACAAGCUUCCCCAAUAGAGACGUACUGUUCAUCAGUCAACGGUAUAUGGUAGCUGCACGCCCCUGCUAGAACCUCCAAACAAGCUCUGGGAGCCCAGGUAAGCCCAGUGGCACCAGCCACAGCACAGGUGAGAACCUGGGGUGGGUGUAUUCCUUUGCCC